RNAcentral lists this ribosomal RNA (423 nucleotides) under uncultured bacterium. RNAcentral's name for it is "partial 16S ribosomal RNA". It matches the Rfam family "Bacterial small subunit ribosomal RNA", at positions 359 to 774 of the family's 1533-position model. The record is from RNAcentral.
GAAUAUUGGAUAAUGGGCGAAAGCCUGAUCCAGCCAUGCCGCGUGUGUGAAGAAGGUUUUCGGAUUGUUAAGCACUUCCAGUUGGGAGGAUGGGCAGUAUUCGAAUACCUACCCGUUUUGACUCUACCGAAAUAAAAAGCACCGGCUAUCUCUGUGCCAGCACCCGCGCUAAUACAGGGGGUGCAAGCGUUAAUAGGAAUGUCUGGGAGUAGAGCGCGCGUAGGGGGUGCGUUAAGUUGGGUGUGAGAUCCCCGGGCGCAACCGGGAAACUGCAUCGAAAACUGGCGAGCGAGAGUAGAGGAGAGGGUGGGGGAAUUUCCUGUGUAGCGGUGAAAUGCAUAGAUAUAGGAAGGAACACCAGUGGCGAAGGCGACCACCUGGGCUCAUACUGACACUGAGGUGCGAAAGCGUGGAGAGCAAACA